CGGCUCACUGCAACCUCUGUCUCCUGGGUUCAAGCAAUUCUCCUGCCUCAGCCUCCUAAGUAGUUGGGAUUACAGGUGCCUGCUACCAUGCCCAGCUAAAUUUUGUGUAUUUUUAGUAGAGACGCGGUUUCACCAUGUUGGUCAGGUUGGUUUCGAACUCCUGACCUCAAGUGAUAUGCCCACCUCAGCCUCCCAAAGUGCUGGGAUUACAGGCAUGAGCCACUGCCCCUGGCCCAGAAUGGCCUUUUUUAAACAGUUCAAGUUACCGUCCAGUUCCAAAUCCUCCAGGAGCCUCCCAUUGCCUUCAGAAUGAAAUCCUAAGUCCUCUGCCUAAAAUGCCCUCUGUAGAACUGGGCACAGUGGCUCACACCUGUAAUCCCAGUGCUUUGGGAAGCCGAGACAGGAGGAUGGCUUGAGCCUAGGAGUUUCAGAUCAGCCUGGGCAACAUGGUGAGACCCGUGUCUCUACAAAAAAAAAAAAAAAAAAAACCCGAAAACUUCACCGGGCGUGGUGAUGUGUGCCUGUAGUUCCAGCUACUGAGGAGGCUGGGGCUGAAGAGGCUGGGGUGGGAGGAUCAGUUGAGCCUAGGAAGUCGAGGCUGUAGUGAGCUAUGAUUGCACCGCUGUACUCCAGCCCGGGCACCAGAGCAAGACUCUGUCUCUAAAUAAAUAAAUGAAAUAAAAUGCCCUCCACCAUCUGACUCUCAGUUCACUCUGCGACUUCAUCUCCACUUCUGCUCAAUCAUUUGGUGCUCGUCACGCCAGCCUCCUUCUUGUUUCUUGAACACCCCAAGCACGAUCCUACCUCACGCCUUUGCACUGGUGGCCCCCUCUGCUUUGCCUCAGGUCCCCUGAGCCCUCCCUCACUUCAUCUAAGGUUCUGUUCAAAUGUCACCUCUUCAGAGAGGCCUCCCAGACCACUCUCUAGGAAACUGCAGACUCUCCACCCGCAGACAUAUACCUGACCCUCCCAUCUUCCCUUCCGCUUGAGUUUUCCCCAGGACACUUACGACCACAAAUCUGUGAUUAUUUGAUCAAUUAUAUGAUUGAUCUCCUCAACUGGACUAAAAGUCCUUGAGCUCUGAGUCGAGUCUGUUCUGUUCACUGUUCCCAGUGCCUAGGCCAGAGCCUGGCACACAGCAGGAACUCAUAAAUGCUUCUUUUGUGAAUGAAUGAAUGAAUGAAUGAGUGAAUGACCGGAGUGCGUGGGUGACUGCACUACACUCUUUUUUUUUUUCUUAUACUUUAACUUCUGGGGUACAUGUGCACUAUGUGCAGGUUUGAUACAUAGGUAUACAUGUGCCAUUUUGGUUUGCUGCACCCAUCAACUCGUCAUUUACAUUAGGUCUUUUUUUUUUUUUUUUUUUUUGAGACGGAGUCUCGCUCUGUCACCCAAGCUGGAGUGCAGUGGUGGGAUCUCGGCUCACUGCAAGCUCCGCCUCCCGGGUUCACGCUAUUCUCC
Molecule: long non-coding RNA, 1461 nt
Filed under: Homo sapiens (human)
Lineage: Eukaryota; Metazoa; Chordata; Mammalia; Primates; Hominidae
Description: HSALNT0255824
Source: RNAcentral